AAUCAUCCAUUUUCCUGAUUUUCAAUGCUGCUCACAAGUUAACUCAAGAGAUCUCUUGAUCAUUAGACUUAUCAUGAUAUCGUUUCUAAUUCUCGUCUCCAUUUUUAAUUAUCAUCUUUUUACGUUUUUCCGUUGGUCUCAUCGCUAUCUUUAUCUUUCUGUCUCUCUCCUCUCUUUGCUAGCUCUCUUCAUGGAUUUCAUUUGGUAAUCAGGAUCUAAACCAGAUAAUGUACAAUCUCGAAGUUGAUCAAAGUUUUUUUUCUCCAAGAGACAAGACAUUAACAAGACCUGAUUUCAUAUACUUGAAAAGCGAAGCUGGUUCUCUCCGGUUAUUUUGGUUUAUUGUCAAGUGAAUUUGCGAUUGUGUCAUUUUCAUUAUAACGAUCAUUUUUCAAGCAAUAAUCAAGACUCAACACGUUUUAUUUGGUAAAACCUUUUUGUAUUUUAUUGUAAACGGAAAAAGAUUAAUCACUUGGUUGCCAUUACAAUCUAAUGCUUUGUGAUUUAUUGAAUAGGAAGAGAGUUGCAAUCUCAAUGACAUUUAUUAGCUGAAUCACAAAUAGCCAUUAGCUGUUUGACUGUUGGUGUUGGAUGAUAUUUUUUCUCACAUUCAUUUUCAAUAUUAUCAAAAUUGCCACCAAUUUGAGGAAAUUGCUUACAGUUGGUCAGUUUUAAGGAAAAGAAGCGACAGUUAUCAAACCCUUCAUCGCCUUAUCGUUUACAUGAUGAUGUUUCUGACAAUUUCAUAGCUUUUUUCCCGGAAACAUGAACUGGCUCAACUUUAAGCAAAUUGGUCAGCUUACUAAUACAUAUGAGCUAAAUAUGAACAGCUUUAUUAUUGCUUUUGAAAUUGAUUCAUUCACUUUUUUAUCAAAAGUUUUGAAUUGUUAGCAAUUUUUUUAUACCCAUUCAAGAGUUUUAAGUAUCAACAUUAUUCAUUUGCUUAAGGCUUUCAAUACUUUUAAUUUGUUCCAUUAUAAUAGUAAUAAUCAAAUUAAUUUGAAUCGAUUUUCUUGCAUUCAGAUGAUUCUGAUAUAUUUUACAGGCCAGAUUUGUUUCAAUUCAUUUGAUUAGGAAGUGACAUUUGAUUGAUUAGGUUUAUUUUUUUGCUAUAUCUUGGAUUAUCAGGUUAAAUUGAUUAAUAGAUGAUGAAAAUGAGAAGCAAAAGAAAUCUUAAAUUAAUAGUUAUCAUUACAGGAAAACGAAAAUUCAAACUGGAUAUAAAUAACAAUUAUUAUGCUUGCAUUUUAUUCAAUAUAAAUUGCCUGAUAAAUGCCACCUUGAAUUCAUAUUGAUUUGUUUCGUUGAAAUGAUCGCUCAAAUCGUUUCAACUUAAAAUCAAUAGCUGGUUGACAAUGAAAGCAAAAAGUCACUGAGAUUGCAAUUAGAUACAGUUUGUGGAUUGACCAUUGUGAAUGAAUGCUGAAGCCUGGUUGAGGAACCAAGUACAAAUUUGGAUAAACCAGUCAACUCUUAUCAAGCAAAGUGGAAAGCUAUAAAAAUCUGAAUUAAGGUGUAAUCCAUAUUUGGUUAACCAGUUUAACCACGAUGAAAGAUAUUGAUGCUUUAAAGAUGAGGAUGGUAAAUGAUAAUGCGAUAGAAUCCAAUUUGGUUGAACAAUUGGAUUAUCAUGUAUUAUCAUACUAGAACAGGAUUUUUUGAUGAAAAUGGUUGUAUUGUUGUGGUUAAACUGAUAUGGUUAAGCUCUACUUGAUUGUUGUGCAUUAGCUGAUGUGUGAUAACAAUUGUAUCUUAUACACACUGUUGGUAUGAUUACACAAAAAAUUAUCGUAACAGCAA
This is a long non-coding RNA of Tetranychus urticae (two-spotted spider mite), 1800 nucleotides long. RefSeq lists it as uncharacterized. NCBI's taxonomy places the organism in Eukaryota, Metazoa, Arthropoda, Arachnida, Trombidiformes, Tetranychidae. The record is from RefSeq and is a predicted model, not a curated record.